CUUCAGCGCGCCGAUCAGGACCGGCCGCUCGCGGUCCUGGCCGUAGGUGGCCAGCAGCGCCUGGGCCUC
RNAcentral lists this antisense RNA (69 nucleotides) under Kitasatospora aureofaciens. RNAcentral's name for it is "Streptomyces aureofaciens ASpks TB sRNA". It matches the Rfam family "ASpks TB sRNA". The record is from Rfam by way of RNAcentral. Lineage: Bacteria; Bacillati; Actinomycetota; Actinomycetes; Kitasatosporales; Streptomycetaceae.